AUGAACGCUGGCGGCGUGCCUCAUACCUGCAAGUCGAGCGCACAGACGAGAGUGCUUGCACUCUCUGACGUUAGCGGCGGACGGGUGAGUAACACGUGGGUAACCUACCUAUAAGACUGGGAUAACUUCGGGAAACCGGAGCUAAUACCGGAUAAUAUUUAGCUUCGCAUGAAGCAAUAGUGAAAGACGGUUCUGCUGUCACUUAUAGAUGGACCCGCGGUGUAUUAGCUAGUUGGUGAGGUAACGGCUCACCAAGGCAACGAUACAUAGCCGACCUGAGAGGGUGAUCGGCCACACUGGGACUGAGACACGGCCCAGACUCCUACGGGAGGCAGCAGUAGGGAAUCUUCCGCAAUGGACGAAAGUCUGACGGAGCAAUGCCGCGUGAGUGAAGAAGGUUUUCGGAUCGUAAAACUCUGUUGUAAGGGAAGAACAAGUACGUUAGUAACUGAACGUACCUUGACGGUACCUUACCAGAAAGCCACGGCUAACUACGUG
Molecule: ribosomal RNA, 498 nt
Filed under: uncultured bacterium
Lineage: Bacteria
Description: partial 16S ribosomal RNA
Rfam family: Bacterial small subunit ribosomal RNA
Source: RNAcentral